Molecule: ribosomal RNA, 977 nt
Filed under: Eimeria sp. ex Apodemus sylvaticus
Lineage: Eukaryota; Apicomplexa; Conoidasida; Eucoccidiorida; Eimeriidae
Description: SSU rRNA
Rfam family: Eukaryotic small subunit ribosomal RNA
Source: RNAcentral
UGGAUAACCAUGGUAAUUCUAUGGCUAAUACAUGCGCACUCGCCUCCUUCUCUGGAGGGGCUGUGUUUAUUAGAUACAAAACCAACCCACUUUGUGGAGUCCUGGUGAUUCAUAGUAACCGAACGGAUCGCAGUUGGCUUCGGCCCGCGAUGGAUCUUUCAAGUUUCUGACCUAUCAGCUUUCGACGGUAGGGUAUUGGCCUACCGUGGCAGUGACGGGUAACGGGGAAUUAGGGUUCGAUUCCGGAGAGGGAGCCUGAGAAACGGCUACCACAUCUAAGGAAGGCAGCAGGCGCGCAAAUUACCCAAUGAAAACAGUUUCGAGGUAGUGACGAGAAAUAACAAUACAGGGCAUUUUAUGCUCUGUAAUUGGAAUGAUGGGAAUGUAAAACCCUUCCAGAGUAACAAUUGGAGGGCAAGUCUGGUGCCAGCAGCCGCGGUAAUUCCAGCUCCAAUAGUGUAUAUUAGAGUUGUUGCAGUUAAAAAGCUCGUAGUUGGAUUUCUGUCGUGGUCAUCCGGCUCCGCCCGUAUGGGUGUGCGCCUGGUUUGCCCUCGGCUUUCUUCCGGUAGCCUUCCGCGCUUCACUGCGUGUGUUGGUGUUCCGGAACUUUUACUUUGAGAAAAAUAGAGUGUUUCAAGCAGGCUUGUCGCCCUGAAUACUUCAGCAUGGAAUAAUAAGAUAGGACCUUGGUUCUAUUUUGUUGGUUUCUAGGACCAAGGUAAUGGUUAAUAGGGACAGUUGGGGGCAUUCGUAUUUAACUGUCAGAGGUGAAAUUCUUAGAUUUGUUAAAGACGAACUACUGCGAAAGCAUUUGCCAAGGAUGUUUUCAUUAAUCAAGAACGACAGUAGGGGGUUUGAAGACGAUUAGAUACCGUCGUAAUCUCUACCAUAAACUAUGCCGACUAGAGAUAGGGAAACGCCUACCUUGGCUUCUCCUGCACCUCAUGAGAAAUCAAAGUCUCUGGGUUCUGGGGGGG